Molecule: long non-coding RNA, 673 nt
Organism: Wyeomyia smithii (pitcher-plant mosquito)
Lineage: Eukaryota; Metazoa; Arthropoda; Insecta; Diptera; Culicidae
Exons: 3
Source: RefSeq, a predicted model, not a curated record
CGAUGCCGAGCCCCAAACAACAAUGGCCGCAAAGGGAAGACAUCUGACGUGCUCUUCACUCCCGUUCAGUGUUGCCUAAUCUAUCGAUGUCGCUGUUUAUAGCAGUGUGAAGCACAGCAGUGUAACAUGCCAUUUUAUUCCCGCGUAUACAAAAAUGCAGGCCACGAACGUGUCAGGGAGGUGGUUGUGUCUGUUCAGUCUCAGUGUUGUUCCGUGAUUUCAGCUCCCAGUGUUAUUCCGUUUGGUGCCUCUAUUUACCAAGUUUAUUAAGUUUACAUUGAAAUAAAUUAAGUUUUCGUGAUGCAAGGGACAUUACGGAAUUGCGUUGCUCGACUGUUCAUCGGCGAUCAAGGCGAUCAACGAAAAAAUCUGCUGCUGCUCCAGAUAAUUAGUUUGUUUCCAUUACUUUGGCAAACGAGUAUAUUUUAAUAAUGAUAAUAAUUCUGGGGACGGCGGAAAAGAAAAUAAACCAUCGAUGCUACCAGAAAGCAGCCUUACGGAGAGUGAUGUCAUCGAGCUGAGAACAUUAUAUUUUUUACGAUCUUGCAUAAACUUUUAUCUAUUUUGAUAUAUUUUAAAAGAGAACUGAACAAAGCAGAAUAAUACGCAUAAAAGUUAGAAUGUCAGAGUGUAUCAAACAUGAAAAAAGUUGUAACGAAUUACAUAUACAUAU